Molecule: ribosomal RNA, 492 nt
Filed under: uncultured bacterium
Lineage: Bacteria
Description: partial 16S ribosomal RNA
Rfam family: Bacterial small subunit ribosomal RNA
Source: RNAcentral
GAUGAACGCUAGCUACAGGCUUAACACAUGCAAGUCGAGGGGAAACGACAUCGAAAGCUUGCUUUUGAUGGGCGUCGACCGGCGCACGGGUGAGUAACGCGUAUCCAACCUGCCCACCACUUGGGGAUAACCUUGCGAAAGUAAGACUAAUACCCAAUGACGUCUCUAGAAGACAUCUGAAAGAGAUUAAAGAUUUAUCGGUGAUGGAUGGGGAUGCGUCUGAUUAGCUUGUUGGCGGGGUAACGGCCCACCAAGGCGACGAUCAGUAGGGGUUCUGAGAGGAAGGUCCCCCACAUUGGAACUGAGACACGGUCCAAACUCCUACGGGAGGCAGCAGUGAGGAAUAUUGGUCAAUGGACGAGAGUCUGAACCAGCCAAGUAGCGUGCAGGAUGACGGCCCUAUGGGUUGUAAACUGCUUUUAUAAGGGAAUAAAGUGAGUCUCGUGAGACUUUUUGCAUGUACCUUAUGAAUAAGAACCGGCUAAUUCCGUG